Mirounga angustirostris (Northern elephant seal) is the source of this 1174-nucleotide long non-coding RNA. RefSeq lists it as uncharacterized. NCBI's taxonomy places the organism in Eukaryota, Metazoa, Chordata, Mammalia, Carnivora, Phocidae. The record is from RefSeq and is a predicted model, not a curated record. The transcript is spliced from 3 exons.
CACGUGCCCACGUUCCGGGGAAGCCCCAGGACUGCGCGAGGCUCCUGGGGAGGAAGGAGGCAGGAUCUCGACAGCAGGGGAAGACACGGGAGACAGCAUUUCCGUCUUGUAAAUGGCCUGUCCAGGAGUUUCAGGAGGAGGAGCCUAGAGAAGGGUGACACAACACCGCAAGGGCACUACUGAGGCAGUGAAGGAACUGGUGAAAUCCUCACCCUCCAGCAAGCCACCAGAAAUCGGAUUGCACUGACUCUGUUCACCGCACGCUCAUUCCAAGCCUCGUCCGGGACAUCAUUUACCAAGCACUCCAGUGCCCCACAGCGAGGCAGGUUCUCUGUCAUGGCAAAGACCACAUCAGCUGGGAACUUGGGUUUGUGUGACUAGUAACUGCUAUGCAGUACUUCAAAAAAUUUAAAACAAAAAGAAAAAAAUCUGGGACAGGGUCACCCUUUCUUUUUAAUGAUGCAUAAUUCUAUUUGAGAUCAUAUAAAAUAUCUGCUAAAUUAAUGUUUAGUAUCUCAUUACAGAAUGUCAUCAUAAUUUAUAGAAUCCUUUUUCACAAUUCUUUUCUAUACACUAACUGUAAAAACUUUCUCAUGAGGGGUGCCUGGGUGGCUCAGUGGGUUAAGCAUCCGAUUCUUGAUCUCAGCUCAGGUUUUGAUCUCAGGGUCGUGAGUUCAGGCCCCAGGUUGGGCUCCACGUUGAGCAUGGAGCCUUCUUUUUUUUUUUUUUUUUUAAUUUUUAUUUUUAUUCUUAUGUUGAUCCCCAUACAUUACAUCAUUAGUUUUAGAUGAAGUGUUCCAUGAUUCAUUGUUUGUGCAUAACACCCAGUGCUCCAGAGCAUGGAGCCUUCUUAAAAACAAAAGAAAAAAAAUAAAAAACCUUUUACAUGACAGUGAUGGGGCUGCACAUGUUGGACACUAGUACUUUCCUUAGUAACACAUUCUGCUGUUUUCCCCUUGGGGUCUUAAAAGCUCCUCUAACAAGGCUGAAAUUGGCAAGAGGGUUUUGGGGCCUUUCCACCUAGGGGACUCCCAUUCUCCCAGAGCACUCUAGUUCUCUUCUAUCAAAACCAGCUCUCAGCAAAAGAUUUAUAAUGGCAAUUUGAUGUUAGUGCAAAUAUUUUUUAAAACCACACAUAAUUUACAAAACAAAGAUACAAUGACUUAAAAUAACA